This is a long non-coding RNA of Bactrocera dorsalis (oriental fruit fly), 712 nucleotides long. RefSeq lists it as uncharacterized. The transcript has 2 exons. NCBI's taxonomy places the organism in Eukaryota, Metazoa, Arthropoda, Insecta, Diptera, Tephritidae. The record is from RefSeq and is a predicted model, not a curated record.
AUUGUUAUUCAAGUUACUUACAUUGCUGUAAAUGAUAUCUAACACUGUUAAUGCAAUACCUACAAAAUGUAUUGCACUCGGCUAUGUUGUUCGGCAAUAACCGCAUACAGUCAACACAACGCACUUAACCACUUUAUAACUGCAGCGAAUAAAAUAAUUUUUACAGCUUUUCAAAUUUUUUCUUUAACAAGCAUAAGUGUCAAUCACAAUUUUUAACAGAAUUACAAAAUUAAAUACACAAAAUUGUAAAUUAUACAACAAUACUUUUUAUAUGCUCGUACAGAAAACGCAUUAAAAAGUGUAAUAAUUAAUUAUUUUGCAACAUUUUGAAAUUAUCUACACAUAAAUUUGGACAAAAAUAAAAUUAAAGAACUGAUGUCAUGAAAACUGCCGCGUUCCUACUACUGCUAAUGAUUACAACAGCGUUGGCCAAAAAAGAAAGUCUACGUCGUGGCAUUACCAAUGCAAGACCAACACUCAAGUGCAAUGACUACGCCGAUGUGCUGUCGCCCACGCGUUUGUUUUUAUUGGGCUUGACCAUGAUAUUAUUGGGCUUAAAGCAAUCGCCAUUGUUGAGAAUGGGGCCGAAAGAUGCUGCAAAUAAAUGGCGGUGGUCCAGACAAAUUGAGGUGAAAUCUUGAAGUUAUUGCAAAAUUAUAAUCAAAUCUAUAUAUUAUUCGAAUAAAACGAUAACUUAUGCGCAUGCAUGCAA